Oncorhynchus tshawytscha (Chinook salmon) is the source of this 370-nucleotide long non-coding RNA. Lineage: Eukaryota; Metazoa; Chordata; Actinopteri; Salmoniformes; Salmonidae. The record is from Ensembl.
CAGUAAUGAGCUGAUUUGAGAUAAACAUAAAUUCAGAAAUAUAUCAAAUUACAUACGCUGUUCCCAAUCCCAGAUUACCUCUGUGUGAGAGGUUGAGUUACUCAGAAGUUAGAAGUUGUUCUGGAGACAGAAGUUAGAGGUUGUAUGGAGACAGAAGUUAGAGGUUGUAUGGAGACAGAAGUUAGAGGUUGGUCUGGAGACAGAAGUUAGAGGUUGGUAUGGAGACAGAAGUUAGAGGUUGUAUGGAGACAGAAGUUAGAGGUUGUUCUGUCUGGAGAGAAUGAAUGUGUGUAGGGAUUGUUUCCUUUUCCUGGCUUUGCUAUUGGUCCAUUUUUGGCUCACUUGGCUCGAGGCUGUAAUUUUGGAGUUG